UGGGGAAUAUUGGACAAUGGGCGAAAGCCUGAUCCAGCCAUGCCGCGUGUGUGAAGAAGGUCUUCGGAUUGUAAAGCACUUUAAGUUGGGAGGAAGGGCAGUAAGCGAAUACCUUGCUGUUUUGACGUUACCGACAGAAUAAGCACCGGCUAACUCUGUGCCAGCAGCCGCGGUAAUACAGAGGGUGCAAGCGUUAAUCGGAAUUACUGGGCGUAAAGCGCGCGUAGGUGGUUCGUUAAGUUGAAUGUGAAAGCCCCGGGCUCAACCUGGGAACUGCAUCCAAAACUGGCGAGCUAGAGUAGGGCAGAGGGUGGUGGAAUUUCCUGUGUAGCGGUGAAAUGCGUAGAUAUAGGAAGGAACACCAGUGGCGAAGGCGACCACCUGGGCUCAUACUGACACUGAGGUGCGAAAGCGUGGGGGCAAACAGG
Molecule: ribosomal RNA, 428 nt
Filed under: Pseudomonadota bacterium
Lineage: Bacteria; Pseudomonadati; Pseudomonadota
Description: Proteobacteria bacterium partial 16S ribosomal RNA
Rfam family: Bacterial small subunit ribosomal RNA
Source: RNAcentral